Gambusia affinis (western mosquitofish) is the source of this 1971-nucleotide long non-coding RNA. RefSeq lists it as uncharacterized. The transcript is spliced from 3 exons. NCBI's taxonomy places the organism in Eukaryota, Metazoa, Chordata, Actinopteri, Cyprinodontiformes, Poeciliidae. The record is from RefSeq and is a predicted model, not a curated record.
AUAACAUAAGUUGGGCUUUACAUUGGAAUAUGUUGUUUUCCGGGGCUCUCUGGUCCUAUUGGUGGGGUUGCCUGCGCGCCGUUCUACAUAUUACCACCAGAAGGCGACAGGUUUCGGAUGGAGUGCGGUGACGUCAUUAUUUUCCCCAGCUGUUCCCGAUCACCUUCAUCAGCGGAGCAGACAUAGGAGUGGGCCGUCAGUCCAACGUCGCCUGAGUGUUGUGCCAGUCACGGUGAUCCCUCUGACGAGAUCCUGGCUGAUUCCCCGGUUUAUGAACCGCCCUCGUGACGCCGUGGAAAUUACCCACAGGUUGCCCGAGUUCCCAGACUCACCUCUCCGCUGUUUGCAAAUCUCCUCCGGACUCCACGGCUGGCGGCCAUUCCACUCCUCCGUGUCUCCGUUUCACCCGAGCCUACCUGUCCGCUCCCCGCCGCACUCCUCCGUUGUCCCUGGAUCCACGAGGGACCGAGACCCCGGACAAACCCAGUUUCCCUCCGCAACUCGGCUCCAACAACUACAAUGAACCGUUGCUGCCAUUACUGUUUAUUCCCCUGGACCAGACCACCCCGACUCUCUCUCUUUGAUUUUUUGUAUGAUCUUUAAUAAAUCAUUUAAAACUGAUUUCACUUCUCCUGUGGUUGUGUUCUGCAUUUGGGCUAAUAUUCAAACCCAACAUGACAGAAUAACCUUAAUGAAUUAAGUUGACCUAACACAUUUGCUUUAAAUAGGAGUAACAGAAUUACAUGGUGCUGAAAUAAAGCAAAGUAAUCAGGUGGAAAACCUUUCCAUGAUUUUUUUAUGUUCAUCCAAAGAGGUAUCUUUCAGUGCAAUGUGACAUUUUACACUUGGGACUACUAGAUCAACUCUUCAGAAUUUAGAUUUAAAGAUUAGACCUGCUGGACAACAGUCCUCUUAAGUAAAAUAUAUGGCUUCUUUAUUUCUGUCCUGUUGAUUUUACCAUAUUUGAUAGCAGCUGAAUUGUAAAUAAUAUAAAAAUCUUAGGAUGGUUGUAUUGAUGAUUUCUUCAUUUUUUUUCUUCUUUCCUUUCCUGCUCAUUUGUGUUUUUAACCCUCUGUGACCUUCAGCAUCUUAGGCAAUGUAAUUUGUUUCCAGUGUGAGCACUUACUGCAUUGAGACUCUGUUCAACUAGAUACAUAUUACAUUAACAUGUAAAAUUCAAGUUUAUAACAACUGGAAGCAAUUACAUUUCACGGUCAAAGGCCAGUUCCAGUAUUGGAUUGACUGAGGUCUGUCUUCAAUAUUAUGAGUUCUGAUCUGGUUUGACAUGAAGGAUACACACAAAAUCCAAAAGGUUAUUUUCUUACUAAUCCAUCUAUGUUCUAAUCCUCUUAUAUAGUCAUGGGAUACGAAUGAUAAAGAACAAAAUCCUGGAUAUAAGUAAUAAGUUGGAGUCAGAUUUCUGAGGAAGGACAGAGAUGCUUUUCAUAAAUUUUUGGCAAACAUUUGGUCUACAGUCAGUGAUUGUUUUUUUUUUUUCUCUCUUCUGGACAAUGACACAAAUGAUUUACAGAAAAUUUGUACAUUGGUUUUCUGGUCAUGGCCACUGUUAUGGUUUAACUCUGUAGUAAUGAAGUCUAGGUGCAAAUUCUAACUGAAUAACUCUUUUGCCCCACCUGCAUCAUCCAAUCGGCACGUCCCGUCCAUCACCGCCGAUCUAUCAACACUGGACCAAGCCACGUCACGUCCAAUCACCGACCAAAGCCCAGCUGAAAAGGACCUCCAUCCACGGCAUCUUCUGCUUUCCAGCUGCGCUCAACCCUCCUCCACCCCUUCUCCACUCUCACUUGCCCGGCUCUUCAGGCUCGCAUCCUUCUCUGACCUCCACCACCAGUGUCCGGUCCCGGGGGGAUAACAUUCCUAACCUACAUCAGCAAUGCUCAUCCGAGCUUAUUGCAAUUCACAGCUCGAUAUCCACAGCCGGGGCCUGAGCGCCAAAGAACUUUAAAUUUA